RNAcentral lists this ribosomal RNA (1469 nucleotides) under uncultured Bordetella sp. Its description in RNAcentral is "partial 16S-23S ribosomal RNA intergenic spacer". It matches the Rfam family "Bacterial small subunit ribosomal RNA". Lineage: Bacteria; Pseudomonadati; Pseudomonadota; Betaproteobacteria; Burkholderiales; Alcaligenaceae. The record is from RNAcentral.
GGUUCGAUUAUGGCUCAGAUUGGAACGCUGGCGGAUGCUUUACACGUACACAGUCGAACAGCGGCACGGACUUCGGUCUGGUGGCGAGUGGCGAACGGGUGAGUAAUGUAUCGGAACGUGCGCACAAUGGCAGGGGAUAACUACGCGAAAGCGUAGCCUAUUCCGCCUGCGGCCAUCGAGAGAAAGCAAGGACCUUCGGGCCUCGCACUGUGGAACGGCCGAUAUCAGUUAGCUAGUUGGUGGGGUAACAGCUCACCAAGGCGACACAAUCGCAACUGGUUUGAGAGGACGAUAACGCCAGCACUGGGACUGGUCUGGCCCGGAGCUCCUACAGGGAGGUAGCAGUGAGGUGGACAAUGGAAGCCUGAUCCAGCCAUCCCGCGUGUGCGAUGAAGGCCUUCGGUUGUAAAGCACUUUUGGCAGGAAAGAAACGGCGGAUAAUACCCCGUGCAACUGACGGCUACCUGCAGAAUAAGCACCGGCUAACUGCGAUACCGCUGUGCAGCAAUAAUACGUAGGGUGGCGUUAAUCAGAUUACUGGGCGUAAAGCGUGCGCGCGAGCGGACCGGAAAAGAAAGAUGUACGAUCCGGCGAUACUGGAACUGCAUUUUUAACUACCGAGCUAGAGUGUGUCAGAGAGUGGAAUUCCGCGUGUGAACGAAAUGCGUAGAUAUGCGGAGGAACACCGGUGGCGAAGGAACCACUCCUGGGAUAACACUGACGCUCAUGCACGAAAGCGUGGGGAGCAAACAGGAUUAGAUACCUAGUAGUCCACGCCCUAAAGCGAUAUCAACGCUGUUGGGGCCUUCGGGCCUUGGUAGCGCGACUAACGCGUGAAGUUGACGACCGCCUGGGGUGAGUGCGCCAGAUCAACUCAAAGGAAUUGACGGGGACUUCCCUGCAAGCAGUGGAUGAUGUCGGAUUAAUUCGAUGCAACGCGGCUGCUAUCUGCUCCAGCAUAUAAGAUCUACGAAGAGAUUUGGGAAUGCUCGCAAGAGAACCGGAACACAGGUGCUGCAUGGCUGUCGUCAGCUCGUGUCGUGAGAUGUUGCAGGUUAAGUCCGCAACGGAAGCGCAACCCUUGUCAACGAACUUGCACGAAAGGGCACUCUAAUGAGACUGCCGGUGAUAAACCGGAGGAAGAGUGCAAGGGAUGACGUCAAGUCCUCAUGGCCCUUAUGGGUAGGGCUUCACACGUCAUACAAUGGUCAGGACAGAGGGUCGCCAACCCGCGAGAGGCCAAUCCAGAAACUGCGAUCGUAGUCCGGAUCGUGCGCAGCUCGACUGCGUGAAGUCGGGAAUGUAAGUAAUCGCGGAUCAACAUCGCGGUGAUACGUUCGGAUCUUGUACCCGCACCGCCCGUCACGCAUGGGAAUUGGGUUUUACCAGAAAUGUAGUUAGCCUAACCGUAAGGAGGCGAUUACGGUAGGAUUCAUGACUGGGGGUGAAGUCGCCAACUCAAAGGUCAU